GAUGAACGCUAGCGGCAGGCCUAAUACAUGCAAGUCGAACGGUAACAUGAGUAGCAAUACUUGAUGACGAGUGGCGCACGGGUGCGUAACGCGUAUGCAAUCUACCUUUAACCGGUGAAUAGCCCGAAGAAAUUCGGAUUAAUACACCAUAGUAUGUUUGAGUGGCAUCACUUAAACAUUAAAGUUCCGACAGUUAAAGAUGAGCAUGCGUGACAUUAGCUAGUUGGUAAGGUAACGGCUUACCAAGGCAACGAUGUCUAGGGGAUCUGAGAGGAUUAACCCCCACACUGGUACUGAGGCAGGGACCAGACUCCUACGGGAGGCAGCAGUAAGGAAUAUUGGACAAUGGUGGCAACACUGAUCCAGCCAUGCCGCGUGAAGGAUGAAGGCCCUAUGGGUUGUAAACUUCUUUUGUACGGGAAAAAACCUUCUUACAUGUAAGAAGCUGAUUGUACGGUAAGAAUAAGGAUCGGCUAACUCCGUGCCAGCCGCCGCCGUAA
This 500-nucleotide ribosomal RNA is filed under the name uncultured bacterium. RNAcentral describes it as "partial 16S ribosomal RNA". It matches the Rfam family "Bacterial small subunit ribosomal RNA", at positions 28 to 523 of the family's 1533-position model. The record is from RNAcentral.